This 135-nucleotide ribosomal RNA is filed under the name Triticum aestivum (bread wheat). Its description in RNAcentral is "partial small subunit ribosomal RNA". The record is from RNAcentral. Lineage: Eukaryota; Viridiplantae; Streptophyta; Magnoliopsida; Poales; Poaceae.
AUGGUUGCUCCUUUUCCAAAUGUCUCUGUUGCGUACGGAAUCCUCUUAACAGUGCAUGUGACUGUAGCCUCAGCUCAAAGAAGUUUCUCUAAACUGAAACUAGUGAAAAAUUAUUUGAGGUCAACUAUGUUGUAA